ACUUCAAAUUUGUAAAAUAUACAUAUUUUAGUACUUUAUUUAAGAACAUAUUUGGUUGGUCAAAAGUGAAGCACCGAAAGUCCGAAAGUAGUAUUUUCGGAAAGUGACAUCUUAUCAAUUGUUUGGUAUGCGAAAGUAAAUAUGAAAAUCACUUUACAAAAGUGGGCUAAUAAAGUGAGUUAUAACUAAAUCUCACUUUUUUAACUUCAGCUCAAAUAACUUCGUAUUCAUUGAAAGUGAAAAACUUAGCUAAGAUGUUAUAUUUGGUCUUUCUUUUAAUCUUUAAAUUUAUUUUUAAAAUUAAGUUUUUACUUUAAAUUUGA
This 323-nucleotide long non-coding RNA is filed under the name Ananas comosus (pineapple). Its description in RNAcentral is "long non-coding RNA (ACOM_LNC022920)". The record is from RNAcentral. Lineage: Eukaryota; Viridiplantae; Streptophyta; Magnoliopsida; Poales; Bromeliaceae.